RNAcentral lists this ribosomal RNA (16 nucleotides) under Homalomena symplocarpifolia. RNAcentral describes it as "partial 5.8S ribosomal RNA". The record is from RNAcentral. Lineage: Eukaryota; Viridiplantae; Streptophyta; Magnoliopsida; Alismatales; Araceae.
ACGACUCCCGGCAACG